AAAAAUGUUGUCUUGUCACAUUCAGCCUACAGUGUGAUUUGUGAAGUGGCAGGUCAAGCAAGCAAAUCUUCAGACUUCAGAGUAUACAGAGAAUUUUAGAAGUUCAGAGACUUCAGAAUUCAUCAUCAGGUGCACAUGUCUUGGGUUGGGCCUAGCUGUGAUGGGCUUUGCAAUGGAAGCCCAUAACUAUUACAAGUGAGGCCCAACGAUCACCCAAGAAAUGUAGGGUUAAUUGGAUCCUAGCUAUCAAAGAGAGAGAUAAGGAGUGAUUUCUGAAUUCUGACAGUGUGAACAUUCCUUUUGGACUGUCAAAAUUGGCUGCUAAAUGGCUGACAUUAGGAUAGAUCUUAGGAAACCAAACCUGACAUGUUGAUGCUGCUUAAUCUAUGCAAAAAGUUUUGGUUUGGUCUUUGUG
RNAcentral lists this small RNA (415 nucleotides) under Oryza sativa Japonica Group (Japanese rice). Its description in RNAcentral is "sRNA Os08g0536333". The record is from RNAcentral. Lineage: Eukaryota; Viridiplantae; Streptophyta; Magnoliopsida; Poales; Poaceae.